UCGCACCUGAAUGUGUCUGUGAAAGGAGACAAAAGACGACACGAGUCCUCAGGGACCGACGAGUUCGCUUUGUCCUGUUUCUAAACCACAGCACGUUAAACAAAGAUUCUUAUGACAAAACUCUUCAUAUGUUUUUGAUUUAUAAAGUAACUAAAGCUUUCAGAUGAAAGCAGUGGAGUAAAGAAGUACAAUAUGUCCCCCUGAGACAGUGGAGUAGAGAUAGAAGAUGGCAUUAAAAGAAAGUGCCUCAAGUUCUGAUCUUCAAAGUGUUUUCUUAUAAACGUGAAAACAUCAACACAUCAGUAUUAAAGGGAUGUUCCAAAAUGUAAAGAAACGAGUCGCCCCAACAUCUGACUGGAAAACAGGACAAGAAUCUGUUGUCAUUCUGAGAUCCUAAAUUUAACGACAAACGAUCUCUAAAAGUUCAUGUUUCAUCAUUUAUGUUUGUAAAAAAGUACAAUAUUUCCCCGUUGAGACAGUCGACACAAUCUGAGCACUGAUCACCACAAGGAAAACUAGUUGCCUCAUUCGAGUCUCAUGCUUUGCUCUGCUCUGCUGACUCACGGGGUGUUGCUCAGGUGUCAUCUGGGCCUCAGAGUGUGGAAAUAAGAGACAGCACAUCUUGUGACACAGUGUUCUACCAGUUUGACGAUAAAGAAGUCAGUAGAGAAAACACAAUGACAGUCGAGUCAAAGUGUAAGCGGAAGUUUUGUGUUCCAGGUAAGUUCAAGAUUUAGCAUUGUGUCAAAGUGAAAGUGAAAGUGAGGGUGAGGGUGAGGCUGCCCGCCUUGCUGUGGCAGCCCUGCAGACCAGAAUAUAAAUCCUGGCUGCUCACUCAGAGGAAAACGCUUUUGGCUUCAUCUUUUCCUUGAUGGUGGAUGUUCAACACUGUGUUUUUCUAACUGGAGAAAAACAUGCUCAAGACUGUUUACACUGAAAACAAGAGCUGCAAACGGAAAUAAACACUUAGCUACUAUAUAAAUCAUCAAAAAUGGGGAACGCACCAUCUGAGAGUAACAUGGGCGACCGCCUGAGAUGCUGCAAGUGCAAUAAAGUCCUGCCUCCAUGCAAAUCCUUCGAUAAUUUCUACAAAAGUACUGUUCAUGGACGGUACGUGUAUGUGUUCAAUGGAGGUGAAUACUACAGGCCAGUCGGCCAGGAUAACAAGUACGAGUGUGAGUACUGCUUUCAUAAACCAAUCAGGGAACAAGAGGAAAAGAGGAGAGAGGAGGAGAGACGGAGAGAGGAGGAGAAGAGAAGAGAAGAGGAGAGGAGAAGAGAGGAGAAGAGGAGAAGA
Scatophagus argus is the source of this 1297-nucleotide long non-coding RNA. RefSeq lists it as uncharacterized. Lineage: Eukaryota; Metazoa; Chordata; Actinopteri; Scatophagidae. The record is from RefSeq and is a predicted model, not a curated record. The transcript has 3 exons.